CCUACGGGGGGCAGCAGUGGGGAAUAUUGCGCAAUGGGCGAAAGCCUGACGCAGCGACGCCGCGUGAGGGAUGAAGGUCUUCGGAUCGUAAACCUCUGUCAGCAGGGAAGAACGGUCACUGUGCUAAUCAGCAGUGAAUUGACGGUACCUGCAAAGGAAGCACCGGCUAACUCCGUGCCAGCAGCCGCGGUAAUACGGAGGGUGCGAGCGUUAAUCGGAAUUACUGGGCGUAAAGCGCUCGUAGGCGGUAUGUCAAGUCAAGGGUGAAAUCCCCGCGCUCAACGUGGGAACUGCCUUUGAAACUGGCAAACUGGAGUGUGUGAGAGGAUAGUGGAAGUCCAGGUGUAGGAGUGAAAUGCGUAGAUAUCUGGAGGAACAUCAGUGGCGAAGGCGACUAUCUGGCACAUAACUGACGCUGAGGAGCGAAAGCGUGGGUAGCAAACAGGAUUAGAUACCCUUGUAGUC
This 465-nucleotide ribosomal RNA is filed under the name uncultured bacterium. RNAcentral describes it as "partial 16S ribosomal RNA". It matches the Rfam family "Bacterial small subunit ribosomal RNA", at positions 338 to 795 of the family's 1533-position model. The record is from RNAcentral.